Molecule: non-coding RNA, 1589 nt
Organism: Salmo salar (Atlantic salmon)
Lineage: Eukaryota; Metazoa; Chordata; Actinopteri; Salmoniformes; Salmonidae
Source: RefSeq, a predicted model, not a curated record
GCGAAAAACAGGUCUGGUAUAUUUAUAGGCCUACAAGUGGCGUAGGCAAAGCCAAUUAAGCCACAAAAACAGCUCUGGUGAUAUAAGUGGAUAAUGAAUUGCAAACGUGUACACUGGACAACCAAAGAGAAUACGUUCAAUGUGACGUACGUUAUGCGAUUGCGCUGUGUAAGACUUCCGUAUCCGACUAUAGCCUAAUUAAAUAGCUAUCACAAUUAGUAACUGCUAGCUAGCUAAGCACCUAUAACGUGUCAUAUACGUAAGGUUAAGAAGACAUGGAUAAAAGAUGCUGGUUGCCGGUUUGUGUGAUCUUGUUGAUGGAACUCCAAGUCUCUUCACAGGAGAGAGUUGAAGGUUUUACAAGAGGGGAGGUUAUUUUACCAUGUAGGUACAAUGCAAUGCCUACUGAAGAGGUCACCAUAUUUUGGCGAUAUAAGGAUGACCGUAAUGUCUACAAUAUUGUCAGUGGAAAAGCAGACAUGACAGACCAAGACCGUCAGUUCAGAAACAGAAUCAGGAUUUUCCCUGAGGAAUGGGCAAACGGCGACUUCUCUCUCCUACUGACUGAUCUCAAGGACUCUGAUAGUGGGAGUUAUUCAUGUUUCAUACCAACAAAGGACAUUCAUCAUCAAGUGGAACUUUCUGUUCAAGAGAAACCAACUCCUGAGCCUAAAGUUGGUCCAAAGAGCAGCAGCGUGAGCAUCAAAGGACAGAACCUCAGCCCCUUCCUGUUUCUCCUCCUCAGUCCAGCUCUCCAUUUCCUUUGAUGUACAUCACAGAAAUUGGUCAUUGUACUGCUUAUGAGACUGUUGACAAGUUCUGAGUGGUUAAACUGCUGAAAUACUUAUUUUUUUCUUUAAUGUAUGUAAUAAGUGACUGCAAAUAUAUAUCGUGCUUGAACCACCUUCCUAGAGGUGAGUAAAAAAAGUUAGUGUUUACUGAUAGGACAGCUGCAACACCUAAGGGGGAUCCUAGUAAAAUACCAAACAUUUUAGCUUUGCUUUUGUGAACUAUAUUUAAUGCACUUAUAAUACAGUAUUUGUUGCUGAUUAAAUGCAUGGUGUUUUUUAAAAACCAGGGCCAUCUGUAAAAUCAAAUUUGAACUAGGAUUGAAAUAGGAUUGAGUCAAUGUGCCCCUCCUGUCAACAAGAUGCAGCUUUACUUACUAAGAUAUUGAAGUAUUUCCAGAUCCGUUAUUAAUAUUGUACUACCGAAUGACAUACGUUUUGUUGAUAUCUUGAGAUUGAACAUGUGCUCCACAGUAAAAGCUUAUUAGUUCAGUCAACCUUUCAAUUAGAAAGUAUUUUACUUUGACACAGUGUUAUUAAAGGAAACAUAUUCACUUCCUCAAUGCUCUUUAUUAAAGAGUGUUUAUUUUAGCUUUUUGUAAACUAUGGUUUGAUCAUGUGGUUGCACUGUGUGUUCAGUCAGAUGUCUGUUAGAAGGAGGAAGUCAGUUCAGUCUCAAAGAUUUAUCACAGCUCUGAGGAUGUUGAGGAUUCUUGCCAGUCUGUUCUGUAAUGUUCUGACCAUUUAUUUUUAUGCUAUUUAUUUUACAUUCAUUUUACAAUAAAUGAAGUGGCUCAUGGA